GGAAGGAUCAUUAUUGAGUAAACCUGAUGUGGCUGUUAGCUGGCUUAGGCAUGUGCUCGUCCAUCAUCUUUAUAUAUCUCCACCUGUGCACAUUUUGUAGACUUGGAUAAUGGCUCUGUCAUUUACAAGACUAUGUUUUCAAUAUACCCAAAGCAUGUUUAAAGAAUGUCAUCAAUAGGAACUUGUUUCCUAUUAGAAACUAUACAACUUUCAGCAACGGAUCUCUUGGCUCUCGCAUCGAUGAAGAACGCAGCGAAAUGCGUUAAGUAAUGUGAAUUGCAGAAUUCAGUGAAUCAUCGAAUCUUUGAACGCACCUUGCGCUCCUUGGUAUUCCGAGGAGCAUGCCUGUUUGAGUGUCAUUAAAUUCUCAACCAUCCAUUAAUUUGGUUUGGCUUGGAUGUGGGGGUUGCAGGCUUCAUUUGACUAUGAGGUCAGCUCUCCUUAAAUGCAUUAGUGGAACUUUUGUUGACCAUCUAUUGGUGUGAUAUCUAUCUACACUGUGGAUGGGUUAGCGGUGUUCAGCUUCUAACCGUCUAUUAUUGACUUACUUUUGACCAUUUGACCUCAAAUCAGGUAGGACUACCCGCUGAACUUAAGCAUAUCAAUAAGCGGAGGAAAAGAAACUAACAAGGAUUCCCCUAGUAACUGCGAGUGAAGCGGGAAAAGCUCAAAUUUAAAAUCUGGCAGUCUUUGGCUGUCCGAGUUGUAAUCUAGAGAAGCAUUAUCCGCGCUGGACCGUGUACAAGUCUCCUGGGAUGGAGCGUCAUAGAGGGUGAGAAUCCCGUCUUUGACACGGACUGCUAGGGCUUUGUGAUGUGCUCUCAAAGAGUCGAGUUGUUUGGGAAUGCAGCUCAAAAUGGGUGGUAAAUUCCAUCUAAAGCUAAAUAUUGGCGAGAGAC
Molecule: ribosomal RNA, 899 nt
Filed under: uncultured fungus
Lineage: Eukaryota; Fungi
Description: eukaryotic LSU rRNA
Rfam family: Eukaryotic large subunit ribosomal RNA (bases 560-899)
Source: RNAcentral